UACGUAGGGGGCUAGCGUUGUCCGGAUUUAUUGGGCGUAAAGCGCGUGUAGGCGGCCAGGUAGGUCUGCUGUGAAAACUCGAGGCUCAACCUCGAGAUGUCGGCGGAAACCAUCUGGCUAGAGUCCGGAAGAGGAGAGUGGAAUUCCCGGUGUAGCGGUGAAAUGCGCAGAUAUCGGGAAGAACACCCGUGGCGAAGGCGACUUCCUGGCCUGUUCUUGACGCUGAGGCGCGAAAGCUAGGGGAGCAAACGGG
Molecule: ribosomal RNA, 253 nt
Filed under: uncultured bacterium
Lineage: Bacteria
Description: partial 16S ribosomal RNA
Rfam family: Bacterial small subunit ribosomal RNA
Source: RNAcentral